GCAAGCAGGACUGAGAACUUGCGCCAGACUACCCUAGCCUUCCAGUUGUGAAAAUAAGUAGCGUUUUCCUUCUUCCCCUGCCUGUGGAGUCUGCACACCAGAUUCACGCCCUCCCACAAGUUCUGGCCAGGAGACUUCUCUAUCGGUUCAAAUUGUUAACAACGUUCAGCUGGAGGUUUCUUUCUCCCCGGUUCAAAUUGUUAACAACGUUCAGCUGGAGGUUUCUUUCUCCCCGUGGCCUUUUCCCAGUGCCUCUGGCAGCCCUCCUCGAGGAUCCCUGUGAGGCAAGGGAGAAAUGGCUUGGUAGGGGACCCAGCGAGCCCACAGGGAUUUUCCUGCUGCUUCCUCUACCCCUCUAUUUCACUCUGCUCUCUAGUUCGACUCAACUCCAGCCCUACGGCAUCAGGGUGGCACUACUGCAGUUGCAAUGGUGAAAUGGUUGUGGGUAGUCUCUGAGAUUUCCUCCUCACAGAACUGCAGAGCCACC
RNAcentral lists this long non-coding RNA (487 nucleotides) under Homo sapiens (human). Its description in RNAcentral is "HSALNT0284375". The record is from RNAcentral. Lineage: Eukaryota; Metazoa; Chordata; Mammalia; Primates; Hominidae.